GGGCGCCCCGGUUUCCUCCCACAAGGAACAUUGAUCGGGUGGGUUAGGAUAAACAUAGUUAGGAAAGUAAUGUUACAAUUGUUGUAAAGCUAAAUAGUCUGGGCAAAAGUAAACGUAAUACUUCAUGUAAUCGUAUCGGUCACUGAGAAACCCCGGCCGUUAUGAAGUGAGCUGAAUUAGAAACACUUUAACCAAACCAUAU
Molecule: non-coding RNA, 202 nt
Organism: Paramuricea clavata
Lineage: Eukaryota; Metazoa; Cnidaria; Anthozoa; Malacalcyonacea; Plexauridae
Source: the annotation of a GenBank genome assembly